GAUGAACGCUGGCGGCGUGCCUAAUACAUGCAAGUCGAGCGAACAGAUGAGGAGCUUGCUCCUCUGACGUUAGCGGCGGACGGGUGAGUAACACGUGGAUAACCUACCUAUAAGACUGGGAUAACUUCGGGAAACCGCAGCUAAUACCGGAUAAUAUAUUGAACCGCAUGGUUCAAUAGUGAAAGACGGUUUUGCUGUCACUUAUAGAUGGAUCCGCGCCGCAUUAGCUAGUUGGUAAGGUAACGGCUUACCAAGGCGACGAUGCGUAGCCGACCUGAGAGGGUGAUCGGCCACACUGGAACUGAGACACGGUCCAGACUCCUACGGGAGGCAGCAGUAGGGAAUCUUCCGCAAUGGGCGAAAGCCUGACGGAGCAACGCCGCGUGAGUGAUGAAGGUCUUCGGAUCGUAAAACUCUGUUAUUAGGGAAGAACAAAUGUGUAAGUAACUAUGCACGUCUUGACGGUACCUAAUCAGAAAGCCACGGCUAACUACGUG
This 497-nucleotide ribosomal RNA is filed under the name uncultured bacterium. RNAcentral's name for it is "partial 16S ribosomal RNA". It matches the Rfam family "Bacterial small subunit ribosomal RNA", at positions 28 to 507 of the family's 1533-position model. The record is from RNAcentral.